Molecule: long non-coding RNA, 2281 nt
Filed under: Equus caballus (horse)
Lineage: Eukaryota; Metazoa; Chordata; Mammalia; Perissodactyla; Equidae
Description: lncRNA (ENSECAG00000053314.1)
Source: RNAcentral
CCGUUCUCUGCUAGCCCAUUUUCGUCACCCUUCCCAGCAGAUCACACUCACCCGCCGAUGGACAGAUGUUCUCCAGGUGUAAGUUGCAUUCUUCUUGUCCACAGGGUUGCUGACCACACAGGUGAGGUGGCCAUUCAACUGGCCCAGGGGCAGGCUCAGGCUUAGAUUCCUGGAGUCGGGGGCUGGCCCCAGUGUCUCUCUCGGCUCCAACUCCCUGGGGAGGCCCUUGCUCAGCCAGGUCACUGCCAGGUUCUCUGUGGCUCCUGGGGUCCCACACUCCAGGCUGAUGUUGCACCAGCCUGAUGUGCGAGACGAUGGAUGAAUCUGAAUCUGGGGCUGGGGGAUGGGCUCUGGGGCAAGGGGGGACUAAAGAGAAACUGACCUUCAGGACUGGAGGCCCCCCUCAAGUACAUCAUCUGCUCUCACUAAGGUGAUGCAGCUGUGUGAGGUUUCUAACUGCAGCCCUGGGGAAGGAGCCUUCUCCCUCUGGCCCAAGGGGUUCUGACUGCAGCCCAGGGGCAGAUGGCUGAGGCCCUCCCAUGCCCAGUGAAGCCUAGAUGAUUAAAUAGACAGGAUGUACAUGAUAACCACACGAUGAUAUGUACCCAUGAUAAUCAUACAGAUGAUAAUAAUUUUAUAUAUUCUUAUACAUAAUCACUACAACAUGGGAGGAGUUGUGAAUAAAGUGGAAAAACAUGUUAAAGUUCCAGUUUUGUUCAGAGAAAGAAAAGGAUAUUGAUUGUCUUUAAAUGGAGAAGUAAAAAUUUAAUUUCUGUAACUGUAGGAUAAAAAUACAAGGUGGUAUGACUUCCAAACUACUAGAAAAGGUUAGGUCAAAAAAAAGUCUACUAAUCAAAUAAAAGCCAGAAAAAAUAAGAAAAAAAAGGUAAAUAAAAAACAUUAGGGGCCAGCCCCAUGGCUGAGUGGUUAAGUUCGUGAGCUCUGCUUUGGCCGCCCAGGGUUUUGCUGGUUCAUAUCCUGGGCCCAGACUUAGCACCGCUCAUAAAGCCAUGCUGAGGCAGUGUCCCACCUAGCAGAACGAGCACGACCUACAACAGGAAUAUUCAGCUAUGUACUGGGGGGCUUUGGGGAGAAGAAGGAAAAAACAAACAAACAAAAAGAUUGGCAAGAGAUGUUAGCUCAGGUGCCAAUCUUUGAAAGAAAAAAACAAUCCCCCCAAAAAACAUUAAACAAGAUUUCAGGAGUUUAGGUUCAUACCUGUAAAAAAAAUGAAAUAUCUUGGAAUGCAUUAUAUCCCCCUGUUAAAAGCCAAGACUCAGAUGAGGUAAUGCCAGCGGCACGCUAUGCCCAUUACCUGACGACACGGAAAGAUUAAAAAGAAAGAGAUGGGAAACAGUAGAUGAAGAAAAUGUCAAGAAAAUGACUGCAGGUGUGGCAAUAGUCAUUACAGACCAAAUAAAAUUUAAGAUAAAAAACAUUAAGCAGGCCAAUGAGAGAUAUUUUAGAUUAAUAUGCAGAUACCAACAGGGUUUGGAAAUGCAUAAAUGUUAUAAAGCAAAACAAAACAAAAUCAAAGCCAAAACACUGUUGGAAAUUCAAGGAGAAAUUUUCAAAUCCACUAUUACUCCAGUGGAUUAUUUUACUGUGGUGGGUAGACCAGAGCAAAGGAUGUAACACAGGUAAAAGCAGCCAGUAAUGGCCACAUGGCCAAUCUGAGAGGUGGCUCAUCCACACGCAGCCCCACUUCCCUCUCCGUCCUCGCUUCCUCUGCUGUGGAAUCUAGAGAGCCAAAGUCUCGCUUUCGGUCUUUCUUGCAGCUGCAUUGGUGCUGACCAGGGAAGUGCGGGGAUCUGCUGGGGGAGGAAAGGCCUUCACUCCUGAAAAGACAGAGCCCCAGACCGAGAAGGACCUUCCCCUUGUCCUUCUCUCCUUGCUGCCUUUAUUGUGGAGUGACGUCUGGAGCAACAGCCACCUCUGGACCACGAGGCAACAAGCACGAGGACAAAAGUCUAUGUGCGGUGGAUGGCAGAGCAGGAAGACAGAGCGAGCCUGGGUCCCCAUGACAGUGCCGAGCAGAUGGCCCAACACCAGCAAAUGCUAUCUCUUGACUUCUUGUUACAUGAGUGAAACAAAUUUGUUUAAACCUUUGAAAAUCAAGUUUUAUGCUCAUUGCAGUCAAACAUAUUCUUAACUUACAUGCAUAGAUAACAAUAAAAAAGGAGAUUCGAUCAGCAAAAUAAAAAGUGGAUUUUUCAAAAACAGGCCAAUCAAAAGAGAAAAUAAUGAUAUCUAACUAAAAAAAUUAAAGCUAUAAUAAAUA